GUCUACGGCCAUACCACCCUGAAUGCGCCCGAUCUCAUCUGAUCUCAGAAGCUAAGCAGGGUCGGGCCUGGUUAGUACUUGGAUGGGAGAAAAGGAUAGGUCCUGAUAGGAAGGUUCAGAAUGCUGUGCUCC
Gorilla gorilla gorilla (western lowland gorilla) is the source of this 132-nucleotide ribosomal RNA. The record is from Ensembl. Lineage: Eukaryota; Metazoa; Chordata; Mammalia; Primates; Hominidae.